ACAAACUUGGUCAUUUAGAGGAAGUAAAAGUCGUAACAAGGUCUCCGUAGGUGAGUAAUACCUCGAGCCCCAUUUCCGAUUGAAUUUUGAAUUAUAUGCUAACUGUUUUUAUAGGUGAACCUGCGGAGGGAUCAUUACAGUAUAUUGAAUUCUUAUUCAUAUCAACCCACACUGUGUACCUUUUAUUUGUUGCUUCCAUGGGACAUGGCUCUGCCACGUCGGCCUCUGGGCUGAUGAGUUCCCAUGGAAGGAAACCCAUAACUCUUUUUAUUUUUGACAUCUGUCUGAAUAGUUUUUAUAAACGUUAAAACUUUCAACAACGGAUCUCUUGGUUCUCGCAUCGAUGAAGAACGCAGC
RNAcentral lists this unclassified non-coding RNA (357 nucleotides) under uncultured fungus. RNAcentral's name for it is "partial contains small subunit ribosomal RNA, internal transcribed spacer 1, and 5.8S ribosomal RNA". The stretch from base 1 to 137 matches the Rfam family "Eukaryotic small subunit ribosomal RNA", at positions 1759 to 1831 of the family's 1831-position model. Lineage: Eukaryota; Fungi. The record is from RNAcentral.